This 578-nucleotide long non-coding RNA is filed under the name Physcomitrium patens. Its description in RNAcentral is "long non-coding RNA (PPAT_LNC007838)". The record is from RNAcentral. Lineage: Eukaryota; Viridiplantae; Streptophyta; Bryopsida; Funariales; Funariaceae.
UAGGAUUUGGUUUAGGAUUAAGAUUAGAUUUUUGGGUUGAUUUAAGAUUUGAUUAGGAUUUGGUUUAGAAUUAGAAUUAGGAUUUUGGAUUGAUUUAAGAUUUGAUUAGGGUUAGGAUUUUGUUAGGGAUAAGAUUAAGAUUUUGGAUUUGAUUUAAGGUUUGAUUAGAAUUAGGAUUUGAUUUAGGUUAGGAUUUGGUUAAGAUUUGUCUAAGAUUUGACUAGGAUUUAUUUAGAAAUUGAUUAAGAUUUCUUCAAAAUUUGAUUAAAAUUUAAUUAGGAUUUGACUAGAAUUUGAUUAAGAUUUGAUUAAGGUUUGUUUAAAAUUUGAUUAAUAUUUAUUUAGAUUUUGAUUAGAAUUUGAUUAAGAAUUUAUUAAAAUUUGAUUAGAGCUUAUUUAGGAUUUUUUAGGAUUUGACUAGGAUUUAUUUAGGAUUUGAUUAAGAUUUAUUUAGGAUUUGAUUAGGAUUUGAAUAGGAUUUGAUUAGAACUUAUUUAGAAUUUAUCAGGGAUUUGAGUAAGAUUUAUUUAGGAUUUAAUUAGAACUUAUCUAAGAUAUGAUUAGGGCUUAUUUAAGAA